RNAcentral lists this ribosomal RNA (428 nucleotides) under uncultured bacterium. RNAcentral's name for it is "bacterial SSU rRNA". It matches the Rfam family "Bacterial small subunit ribosomal RNA", at positions 917 to 1344 of the family's 1533-position model. The record is from RNAcentral.
GGGCCCGCACAAGCGGUGGAGCAUGUGGUUUAAUUCGAUGCAACGCGAAGAACCUUACCUACUCUUGACAUCCAGAGAACUUUUCAGAGAUGAAUUGGUGCCUUCGGGAACUCUGAGACAGGUGCUGCAUGGCUGUCGUCAGCUCGUGUUGUGAAAUGUUGGGUUAAGUCCCGCAACGAGCGCAACCCCUGUGGUUAGUUACCAGCACGUAAAGGUGGGGACUCUAGCCAGACUGCCUACGCAAGUAGUGAGGAAGGUGGGGACGACGUCAAGUCAUCAUGGCCCUUACGUCCAGGGCUGCACACGUGCUACAAUGGUCGGUACAAUGGGUCGCCACCCAGCGAUGGGGCGCAAAUCCAUAAAAGUGCGUCGUAGUCCGGAUCGGAGUCUGCAACUCGACUCCGUGAAGUCGGAAUCGCUAGUAAUCG